GUGCCUGUAGCUUAGUGGUAAAGCGUCGCUCUGUGGCAGCGAUGAGGUGGGUUCGAUUCCCAUCAGGCACC
RNAcentral lists this transfer RNA (71 nucleotides) under bacterium. RNAcentral describes it as "tRNA-His". It matches the Rfam family "tRNA". From Rfam's summary of the family: Transfer RNA (tRNA) molecules are approximately 80 nucleotides in length. Their secondary structure includes four short double-helical elements and three loops (D, anti-codon, and T loops). The record is from RNAcentral.